RNAcentral lists this ribosomal RNA (482 nucleotides) under uncultured bacterium. RNAcentral's name for it is "partial 16S ribosomal RNA". It matches the Rfam family "Bacterial small subunit ribosomal RNA", at positions 28 to 507 of the family's 1533-position model. The record is from RNAcentral.
GAUGAACGCUAGCGGCAGGCCUAAUAAAUGCAAGUCGAACGAGAUUAAGAGGCUUGCUUCUUAUGAAAGUGGCGCACGGGUGCGUAACGCGUAUGCAACCUACCUUAAUCAGGGGGAUAGCCCGAAGAAAUUCGGAUUAAGACCGCAUAAAAACACAGGAUAGCAUUAUCCAAUGUUCAAAUAUUUAUAGGAUUAAGAUGGGCAUGCGUGUCAUUAGCUAGUUGGCGGGGUAACGGCCCACCAAGGCGACGAUGACUAGGGGAUCUGAGAGGAGGGACCCCCACACUGGUACUUAGACACGGAUCAGGCUACUACGGUAGGCAGCAGUAAGUAAUAUUGGUCUGUGGAGGAAACUCUGAUCCAGCCUGGCCGCGUCCCGGAAGUCUGUCCUCUGGGUCGUAAACUUCGUUUGUUCGUGUAUAAUUCGUUCUUCGUAUAGGAAGGUGUAUGUACCGGAGUAAUAAGGCUCGGCUAGCUCCGUG